AGAACGAACGCUGGCGGCAGGCCUCAAACAUGCAAGUCUAGGGGGUGUAGCAAUACAUCACCGGCGGACGGGUGCGUAACACGUGGGAAUAUACCUUUUGGUUCGGAACAACGCAGGGAAACUUGCGCUAAUACCGAAUGUGCCCUUACGGGGAAAGAUUUAUCGCCAAAGGAUUAGCCCGCGUAGGAUUAGCUAGUUGGUGAGGUAAUAGCUCACCAAGGCUCCGAUCCUUAGCUGUUCUGAGAGGAAGAUCAGCCACACUGGGACUGAGACACGGCCCAGACUCCUACGGGAGGCAGCAGUUGGGAAUCUUGGACAAUGGGGAAACCCUGAUCCAGCCAUGCCGCGUGAGUGAUGAAGGCCUUCGGGUUGUAAAACUCUUUCGACGGGGACGAUAAUGACGGUACCCGUAGAAGAAGCUCCGGCUAACUUCGUGCCAGCAGCCGC
This 447-nucleotide ribosomal RNA is filed under the name uncultured bacterium. RNAcentral's name for it is "SSU rRNA". It matches the Rfam family "Bacterial small subunit ribosomal RNA", at positions 26 to 518 of the family's 1533-position model. The record is from RNAcentral.